UACGGAGGGGGCUAGCGUUGUUCGGAAUUACUGGGCGUAAAGCGUACGUAGGCGGCUUUGUAAGUUAGAGGUGAAAGCCCGGAGCUCAACUUCGGAAUUGCCUUUAAGACUGCAUCGCUUGAACGUCGGAGAGGUGAGUGGAAUUCCGAGUGUAGAGGUGAAAUUCGUAGAUAUUCGGAAGAACACCAGUGGCGAAGGCGGCUCACUGGACGACUGUUGACGCUGAGGUACGAAAGCGUGGGGAGCAAACAGG
RNAcentral lists this ribosomal RNA (253 nucleotides) under uncultured bacterium. Its description in RNAcentral is "partial 16S ribosomal RNA". It matches the Rfam family "Bacterial small subunit ribosomal RNA", at positions 524 to 776 of the family's 1533-position model. The record is from RNAcentral.